CCCAGUGACGGCCCCGUGGGGCAGGGACACAGCCUGGCCUCUGGGGAGCUCAAUCUGGGUCUCGGGCUGUACUUUUUUCUAAGCCACUGGAGCUCAUCCACUUGGGACAUGGAGACUCCUGACAACGACCCCGUCGGGGUGCUGCCACGGGGCAAACCUCUGCCCGCCUGCAGGCCUCUGACUGUGCCAGCUGGGCCAAGCACUGGACUGAGUGAUGCACCUCCUGUGUUGGCGUGGAGACGGGACAGGCAACUCCAGAUGCACAGGGUAUGGGGCCAGCCCCCUCGAGGGCUCGCUGUGGCUCCUGUCCCUGGACAGGGGCACCGCUGACCAGGAGACUUGAGCUUUCAUUAUUUUUAGGACACAAACCUGGUUUUCCUUCUGCUGCCGUUUGGGCUCCGGGGGGCAGGUGGAAAUGGGGAGUCAGUCACUUUUCUUAGGGAUGUUUUCCUGGGCUCUGGCUAUUUGUACAUUAUAUAAAUAUAUCGGGGGGGGGGUGGGUGGGACGGACAGGGCUCAGGCAAUGGCUGCAGGAAUUUGUCCUCAGUCCUAGGGGUGGGGGUGGGGGUGUCAGCUGGUGUAAUUAUUUAAAAAAGAUGGUAUUUUUUUAAGCAAAAGAUGAAAAAAAUGCAAAAAAACCCCCAACCAAACAAAACGGUCUGACCUGAUCUUUUUUGACAAAUGGUUUUGCAGCGUCUUGUAUCGAGGAUGGAAAAAAAAUCAAUAAAACAGAGAAUUUGUAGUGGA
Molecule: long non-coding RNA, 747 nt
Organism: Gopherus evgoodei (Goodes thornscrub tortoise)
Lineage: Eukaryota; Metazoa; Chordata; Testudines; Testudinidae
Exons: 2
Source: RefSeq, a predicted model, not a curated record